GACGGGGACCCGCACAAGCGGUGGAUGAUGUGGAUUAAUUCGAUGCAACGCGAAAACCUUACCUACCCUUGACAUGUCCGGAAUCCCGAAGAGAUUUGGGAGUGCUCGCAAGAGAGCCGGAACACAGGUGCUGCAUGGCUGUCGUCAGCUCGUGUCGUGAGAUGUUGGGUUAAGUCCCGCAACGAGCGCAACCCUUGUCAUUAGUUGCCAUCAUUUGGUUGGGCACUCUAAUGAGACUGCCGGUGACAAACCGGAGGAAGGUGGGGAUGACGUCAAGUCCUCAUGGCCCUUAUGGGUAGGGCUUCACACGUCAUACAAUGGUCGGUACAGAGGGUUGCCAACCCGCGAGGGGGAGCUAAUCCCACAAAGCCGGUCGUAGUCCGGAUCGCAGUCUGCAACUCGACUGCGUGAAGUCGGAAUCGCUAGUAAUCGCGGAUCAGCAUGUCGCGGUGAAUACGUUCCCGGGUCUU
Molecule: ribosomal RNA, 470 nt
Filed under: uncultured Rhodocyclaceae bacterium
Lineage: Bacteria; Pseudomonadati; Pseudomonadota; Betaproteobacteria; Rhodocyclales; Rhodocyclaceae
Description: bacterial SSU rRNA
Rfam family: Bacterial small subunit ribosomal RNA
Source: RNAcentral